CAGUCGCCACGGGAAUACGUAGGGUGCAAGCGUUAAUCGGAAUUACUGGGCGUAAAGCGUGCGUAGGCGGCUUCUUAAGUCGGAUGUGAAAUCCCUGAGCUUAACUUAGGAAUUGCAUUCGAUACUGGGAAGCUAGAGUAUGGGAGAGGAUGGUAGAAUUCCAGGUGUAGCGGUGAAAUGCGUAGAGAUCUGGAGGAAUACCGAUGGCGAAGGCAGCCAUCUGGCCUAAUACUGACGCUGAGGUACGAAAGCAUGGGGAGCAAACAGGAUUAGAUACCCCAGUAGUCCCUGUCUCUUAUAC
RNAcentral lists this ribosomal RNA (301 nucleotides) under uncultured bacterium. RNAcentral describes it as "partial 16S ribosomal RNA". It matches the Rfam family "Bacterial small subunit ribosomal RNA", at positions 509 to 807 of the family's 1533-position model. The record is from RNAcentral.